CUAAGAAUAUUCCGCAAUGGGACGAAAGUCUGACGGAGCGACGCCGCGUGGAUGAAGAAGGCCGGAAGGUUGUAAAGUUCUUUUAAGCAUGAAGAAGGAUUAUUGCAGGAAAUGGCAGUAAAGUGACGGUAGUGCUUGAAUAAGAGGCGGCUAAUUACGUGCCAGCAGCCGCGGUAACACGUAAGGUGCGAGCGUUGUUCGGAAUCAUUGGGCGUAAAGGGCAUGUAGGCGGUCUGUCAAGCCAGGCGUGAAAGCCAGGGGCUCAACCCCUGAACUGCGCUUGGAACUGGCGGACUGGAGUCGCU
Molecule: ribosomal RNA, 305 nt
Filed under: uncultured Treponema sp.
Lineage: Bacteria; Pseudomonadati; Spirochaetota; Spirochaetia; Treponematales; Treponemataceae
Description: bacterial SSU rRNA
Rfam family: Bacterial small subunit ribosomal RNA
Source: RNAcentral